AACGAACGCUGGCGGCGUGCUUAACACAUGCAAGUCGAACGGUAAGGCCCUUCGGGGUACACGAGUGGCGAACGGGUGAGUAACACGUGGGUGAUCUGCCCUGCACUUCGGGAUAAGCCUGGGAAACUGGGUCUAAUACCGGAUAGGACUCCUGCCUGCAUGGGUGGGGGUGGAAAGCUUUUGCGGUGUGGGAUGGGCCCGCGGCCUAUCAGCUUGUUGGUGGGGUGCUGGCCUACCAAGGCGACGACGGGUAGCCGGCCUGGGAGGGUGACCGGCCACACUGGGACUGAGAUACGGCCCAGACUCCUACGGGAGGCAGCAGUGGGGAAUAUUGCACAAUGGGCGCAAGCCUGAUGCAGCGACGCCGCGUGAGGGAUGACGGCCUUCGGGUUGUAAACCUCUUUCAGCACAGACGAAGCGCAAGUGACGGUAUGUGUAGAAGAAGGACCGGCCAACUACGUGCCAGCCGCCGCCGUAA
This 478-nucleotide ribosomal RNA is filed under the name uncultured bacterium. RNAcentral describes it as "partial 16S ribosomal RNA". It matches the Rfam family "Bacterial small subunit ribosomal RNA", at positions 28 to 523 of the family's 1533-position model. The record is from RNAcentral.